GGCCCUAUCGUCUAGUGGUUUAGGACGUCUGCUUCUCAGGCAGGAAACACCGGUUCAAAUCCGGUUGGGGCCGCCA
This 76-nucleotide transfer RNA is filed under the name bacterium. Its description in RNAcentral is "tRNA-Glu". It matches the Rfam family "tRNA". Rfam says of the family: Transfer RNA (tRNA) molecules are approximately 80 nucleotides in length. The record is from RNAcentral.